This is a long non-coding RNA of Equus caballus (horse), 3080 nucleotides long. Lineage: Eukaryota; Metazoa; Chordata; Mammalia; Perissodactyla; Equidae. The record is from Ensembl.
CUGAAAAUCCAGAAUGUGUCUGUUUUGUUCCAGUCUCCUGACUUAUGUCAGGGUCCGUUGAUUCCAUGACUACCCCAAGUCACCUCACAAUCAUGCCUCCGAGGCCCCUUAGAAUCCUGGGGCACAGGUCCUCUGGAAACGGAGGGUAGGAUUCAUUCAAGUAGCCCGUUCUUUCUGGAAAUUCGUGUACCCUUUUAACCCAUGCUGGACUUUUUAAGUUUUGAAGAUCUGCAAAUUCUUUGACACUUCUACACUAAAAAGGUGGCGUUUACUUACCUUCCCCUUAAACACCGGCCGGACUCAGUGACUCGAUUCUGCUGAAUAGGGAGAUGUGCCUUUGGGGAGCCUGAGCUGCCCUGUAAGAAAUCCAGAUACCCUACAGUUGCCAUGAUGCAGAGGGCAAGUGGAGACACCAUCUGGAGGAGCCCCUGUGGUGCUGGCCACCAGCUGUGUGCACCCUAAUAGCUAAAGCAAGGGCUGUUUCACGCCAGCUUAAGAGCUAUGAAUUUGGAACUUCAGGACUCAAAGCCCUUCAGAGCUACCAAGAAUGUCAUUUCAUUCACUGCCUGGCUGUAGAGAAAGAGUGACGGGGACGGAGCGGGGCUGCCAAGUGCCUCUGGGAGCCGAUUAGUAGGGGACUGGAGUGCCCUGGCUCCCCGGAUACAAAUGGAACGUAGUUACAGGGCCAAGCCAUGUAGGCCUUUAACGGAGAUAGCAUAUCAGCUUUCCCAUGACCCAGAACACAUGGGGACUUGGAGAUGACACUAUGCUCCACCUUGGUCAAGCCUCUGAGAUUCUGAAGCAGGAACAGUUAGAUACAACAAAACUUAAAAGGACGGAAUCUCUUAUUAUCAGAGCUUUGAGUUUUGUUACAGGAGCUGUGUUCUUUGGCCUGACCAGAAGGAAAUUCACUCUCCUUUUCAGAUGGAUAAGGUGCAGGGGUCUUUGGGUACCCCAGGUGGAUGGAAACAACCCCCAGCCAAAGGCUGUCAGAAAAGAAGUUUAGGUAAUAUUGCCCAGCUCAAUAACCAGUCUGGAAGAGGGCAUCAAGCAGGCCACUCAGGUUUCAGUUGAAGACCUACCUAAAAUACUCUGAAUUGGUUCAGCACAAGUCUUUCUAGUCCCUUCUCAAAGGCAGGAAAUGAUGACAUUUGACACGGGGGUACCUAAAGACACAGGCAACAGGGGCCAAACCAAGAGUGGACCUUGACCCCAUCACCUGGGCUGAUGUCUUCACUGAAACCCUCCAGACUUCAUGGUAUGCCCAUCGCCAGAUUUGGUGUAGCCCAGAAUGAUCCCCUUUAGGGGAAAAGGAGGGAAGGAGAGGAGAAGGAAGAAAGGAAGAAACAUCUUUAUCAGUUAAAAAAUAAUCAGUUCGUUUUCCUGUAGCAACUUACUGAGAGCCUACCCCGUCAGUCACUGAAGAGCCAUCACAGUAUCUAUGUGUGAUGAUCAUUAUCUGUGAUGAUAACCCUGUGAGGUUCUGGUUACUUGGACUUCUGUGGUGGUUUCAGUUUGAUCUCUCCUGGAGUAACAGCUGGCCAUUACUUCAUACUGCUGCAACGAAAAAUUCUAAGGCGCGCUUUGUGGAAGAGAAAUAAAGGGGAUCUGGUCUUUGAAGAUGUGGAAUAUGGUAACUACCUUGCCAGUAAACCAUGCUAUCGCCGUGGAAGACUCUGAAGGAGGACAAGCCCUGAGUUUCCUGGUUAUGUGUGAUUCACACCAGAUAAUCAAAAGACUGAGAGAGAAUGUUCUUCUGGAUGGAUAGAAGAGUUUGAUUUGUCAAUGGAUCCCAAGGUACAACUUGAAGAAGAGAAAAAUUAUUUUCUCAAAAAUCUUAAAAAUCACAGAUUUCUGAUCUAAUUGGCAGCACUUCCUAGCUUUAAAGGUUGAAUUUAUCUGAGCAAAAUGACUUGGGGCAAUUUGUGUAAUUACUUCACAGUUAUCUGCAGACAGACUGUGGAAACCACAUCUCUGCAGAUAAAUGCGCAGAUUCAGGUCACUAGGACAUACUCCUGACACCUGACACGCUGCGUGAGAUUUUUCUUCCCUCUCCCUGCUUCUCCCUCCCUUUUAGUAAUCUAAUCCUUUUAGCAAGAAUGCUAUUUUGUCAUGAAAAUACAAGGAAAUGAGAACAUUUUCUUGGUCUUAAAAUCUCAAACCCUAUUUGCUGAUACCAUCAGAUAAAGCAUUCUACUCAGGCUAGGUCCAAGGCUAUGAUAAGAUUUAUUUUCACAAGAUGGUAACAGUAUCGUAUCCUUUGAGGCUAAUCUUUAGAACAUGAGUACAUUUUUGUUGUUGAGUUGUCCUUUUUCUUCUAUAGUACUGAAAUGUUACAUCUUAUUCUUAAUAAUUAUUUUUCAAUGAAUUCCUUAUAAUUUAAAGAGAAACUUUCCUCAUUGGGCUCAUGUAUUUUACCCACCCAAAAUUGCAAAUAGAAUUUGUACAAUUUCAUGAGCUCUGACACGAAAAAUGUCGUAGGCAAUUCUGUAUAACAACUCAACAGCAGACGCAGAAGUGAAGAGCCAGCUGACAUCCUUGAAACUUCCAUGUGCUUGGGUUUAUGUUUAAAGGGCCAUUCAACAUAACAGAGUACAUUUGAAUAGAAAGGAAGUAAUUUUGAAAUGCUUUAUUCCAUUUACUUAGGGAAUAAUAUAAAUAAUGUUAUAAGAUAAAUUUUGCUCUCUGGUAACCCAAACAUUUUAAACAUUCAUUAUCUAGUCUUUGCUCCAUUUAUUUGAAAUGCAGUGGCAUAUUCAGAAAAUCUGAAAGAAAAAGAUUAAUUGCAAUUAUUUUACCAAUGGUAUUAUGGGAAAUUAUACCAGUUUAUGAAUAAAGGAAGCUAGAUACUUAAAUGCCUCCCUCAGUGUAAGAUGUCAAUAUGUUAUACUUCAGGAUAUACUAAGUAUAUCCUGUGGUUUGGAAAUUUAGAUUAUCAUCAUAGUUUUUUAGUUAUCAAGAGAAAUUACUUUUUAGAAAAUCAACUUUAUUGAGGUGUUAUUUACAUACAAUAAAAUGCAUCUAUUUUAAGCGUCCAUUUAGAUGAAUUAUGACAAAUAUAUACAUCUGUGGAACCGCAG